Molecule: ribosomal RNA, 590 nt
Filed under: uncultured Burkholderia sp.
Lineage: Bacteria; Pseudomonadati; Pseudomonadota; Betaproteobacteria; Burkholderiales; Burkholderiaceae
Description: bacterial SSU rRNA
Rfam family: Bacterial small subunit ribosomal RNA
Source: RNAcentral
UCGGGUUGUAAAGCACUUUUGUUCGGGAAGAAAUCCCACCUACUAAUAUUGGGUGGGGAUGACGGUACCGGAGGAAUAAGCACCGGCUAACUACGUGCCAGCAGCGCGGUAAUCGUAGGGUGCGAGCGUUAAUCGGAAUUACUGGGCGUAAAGCGUGCGCAGGCGGUACGCUAAGACUGAUGUGAAAGCCCCGGGCUUAACCUGGGAACUGCAUUGGUGACUGGCGGGCUAGAGUAUGGCAGAGGGGGGUAGAAUUCCACGUGUAGCAGUGAAAUGCGUAGAGAUGUGGAGGAAUACCGAUGGCGAAGGCAGCCCCCUGGGCCAAUACUGACGCUCAUGCACGAAAGCGUGGGGAGCAAACAGGAUUAGAUACCCUGGUAGUCCACGCCCUAAACGAUGUCAACUAGUUGUUGGGUCUUCAUUGACUUAGUAACGUAGCUAACGCGUGAAGUUGACCGCCUGGGGAGUACGGUCGCAAGAUUAAAACUCAAAGGAAUUGACGGGGACCCGCACAAGCGGUGGAUGAUGUGGAUUAAUUCGAUGCAACGCGAAAAACCUUACCUACCCUUGACAUGGAUGGAAUCCUGAAG